GGGUUCAGUCGGUCGGGGAAAGGUGCGUCCGACAUAUCUUCGGUCGGUCGUGAGCCGAUAAUUAGCCGGUGAUGGCAUCCGUCAGUCGGUCGCCCCGACCGACGAUCGGUCGGUCGGAGUCGUCAGUCGGUCGGGCCGCCAGUCGGUCGGUCGGGCCGCAAGUCGGUCGGGCCGCCAGUCGGUUGGGCCGCCAGUCGGUCGGUCGAGCCGCAAGUCGGUCGGGCCGCCAGUCGGCCGGUGGGUAUCCCCCAAC
RNAcentral lists this long non-coding RNA (253 nucleotides) under Elaeis guineensis (African oil palm). RNAcentral's name for it is "long non-coding RNA (EGUI_LNC006970)". Lineage: Eukaryota; Viridiplantae; Streptophyta; Magnoliopsida; Arecales; Arecaceae. The record is from RNAcentral.